RNAcentral lists this ribosomal RNA (426 nucleotides) under grassland soil clone sl3_822. RNAcentral describes it as "bacterial SSU rRNA". It matches the Rfam family "Bacterial small subunit ribosomal RNA", at positions 50 to 496 of the family's 1533-position model. The record is from RNAcentral.
UAGACAUGCAAGUCGAACGGACUUUCGGGCUUGCUCUGAAAGUUAGUGGCGGACGGCUGAGUAACGCGUGGGUGACCUACCCCGAAGUGGGGAAUAACUGCCCGAAAGGGUGGCUAAUACCGCAUGUGAUCGUUUGUUCAUUCGAUCGAUCAAAGCAGCAAUGCGCUUCGGGAGGGGCCUGCGUCCGAUUAGCUCGUUGGUGGGGUAAUGGCUCACCAAGGCGACGAUCGGUAGGUGGUCUGAGAGGACGAUCACCCAGACUGGGACUGAGACACGGCCCAGACUCCUACGGGAGGCAGCAGUCGGGAAUUUUGCUCAAUGGGCGCAAGCCUGAAGCAGCAACGCCGCGUGAGGGAUGAAGGCCUUCGGGUUGUAAACCUCUUUUAUCAGGGAAGAUUAUGACGGUACCUGAAGAAUAAGCCACGG